UCAGUGUCCGAGUUGUAAUCUCUAGAAGUGUUUCCGCGUUGGACCGCACACAAGUUCUGUUGGAAUACAGCGGCACAGUGGUGACACCCCCGUACACGGUGCGGACGCCCAGCGCUUUGUGAUACACUUUCGAAGAGUCGAGUUGUUGGGAAUGCAGCUCAAAUUGGGUGGUAAAUCCAUCUAAAGCUAAAUAUGGCGAGAGACCGAUAGCGAACAAGUACCGUGAGGGAAAGAUGAAAAGCACUUUGGAAAGAGAGUUAACAGUACGUGAAAUUGUUGGAAGGGAAACGCUUGAAGUCAGACUUGCUUGCCGGAGCUUGCUUCGGUUUGCAGGCCAGCAUCAGUUUUCCGGGGUGGAUAAUGGUGGUUAGAAGGUAGCAGUCUUCAGCUGUGUUAUAGCUUUCCGCUGGAUACAUCCUGGGGGACUGAGGAACGCAGCGUGCUUUUAGCGGGGGUUUCGACCUCUUCA
RNAcentral lists this ribosomal RNA (469 nucleotides) under Rhodotorula paludigena. RNAcentral's name for it is "eukaryotic LSU rRNA". It matches the Rfam family "Eukaryotic large subunit ribosomal RNA", at positions 131 to 613 of the family's 3401-position model. The record is from RNAcentral. Lineage: Eukaryota; Fungi; Basidiomycota; Microbotryomycetes; Sporidiobolales; Sporidiobolaceae.